GCCGGAGUGGCGGAACAGGCAGACGCCCGCGACUCAAAAUCGCGUGCCCUUACGGGCGUGUGGGUUCGACUCCCACCUCCGGCAUCA
Molecule: transfer RNA, 87 nt
Filed under: Chloroflexota bacterium
Lineage: Bacteria; Bacillati; Chloroflexota
Description: tRNA-Leu
Rfam family: tRNA
About the family: Transfer RNA (tRNA) molecules are approximately 80 nucleotides in length. Their secondary structure includes four short double-helical elements and three loops (D, anti-codon, and T loops). Further hydrogen bonds mediate the characteristic L-shaped molecular structure. tRNAs have two regions of fundamental functional importance: the anti-codon, which is responsible for specific mRNA codon recognition, and the 3' end, to which the tRNAs corresponding amino acid is attached (by aminoacyl-tRNA synthetases). tRNAs cope with the degeneracy of the genetic code in two manners: having more than one tRNA (with a specific anti-codon) for a particular amino acid; and 'wobble' base-pairing, i.e. permitting non-standard base-pairing at the 3rd anti-codon position.
Source: RNAcentral